UAGGGAAUCUUCCGCAAUGGGCGAAAGCCUGACGGAGCAACGCCGCGUGAGUGAUGAAGGUCUUCGGAUCGUAAAACUCUGUUAUUAGGGAAGAACAAAUGUGUAAGUAACUAUGCACGUCUUGACGGUACAUAAUUAGAAAGCCACGGCUAACUACGUGCCAGCAGCCGCGGUAAUACGUAGGUGACAAGCGUUAUCCGGAAUUAUUGGGCGUAAAGCUCGCGUAGGCGGUUUUUUAAGUCUGAUGUGAAAGCCCACGGCGCAACCGUGGAGGGUCAUUGGAAACUGGAAAACUUGAGUUCAGAAGAUGAAAGUGGAUUUCCAUGAGUAGCGGUGAAAUGCGCAGAGAUAUGGAUGAACACCAGUGGCGAAGGCGACUUUCUGGUCUGUAACUGACGCUGAUGUGCGAAAGCAUGGGGAUCAAACAGG
Molecule: ribosomal RNA, 429 nt
Filed under: Actinomycetes bacterium
Lineage: Bacteria; Bacillati; Actinomycetota; Actinomycetes
Description: Actinobacteria bacterium partial 16S ribosomal RNA
Rfam family: Bacterial small subunit ribosomal RNA
Source: RNAcentral